GAUUGACCUCGGAUCAGGUAGGGAUACCCGCUGAACUUAAGCAUAUCAAUAAGCGGAGGAA
RNAcentral lists this ribosomal RNA (61 nucleotides) under Aspergillus aculeatus. RNAcentral's name for it is "partial 28S ribosomal RNA". It matches the Rfam family "Eukaryotic large subunit ribosomal RNA", at positions 1 to 58 of the family's 3401-position model. Lineage: Eukaryota; Fungi; Ascomycota; Eurotiomycetes; Eurotiales; Aspergillaceae. The record is from RNAcentral.